RNAcentral lists this ribosomal RNA (864 nucleotides) under uncultured Sphingobacteriia bacterium. RNAcentral describes it as "bacterial SSU rRNA". It matches the Rfam family "Bacterial small subunit ribosomal RNA", at positions 58 to 922 of the family's 1533-position model. Lineage: Bacteria; Pseudomonadati; Bacteroidota; Sphingobacteriia. The record is from RNAcentral.
CAAGUCGGACGGGAUUCGGGUGCUUGCACCUGAUGAGAGUGGCGCACGGGUGCGUAACACGUAUGUAACCUACCUUGAUCAGGGGGAUAGCCUCUCGAAAGAGAGAUUAAGACCGCAUAACAUUAUGAUAUGGCAUCGUAUUAUAAUCAAAUAUUUAUAGGAUCAAGAUGGGCAUGCGCAACAUUAGCUAGUUGGUGUGGUAACGGCAUACCAAGGCGACGAUGUUUAGGGGAUCUGAGAGGAUGACCCCCCACACUGGUACUGAGACACGGACCAGACUCCUACGGGAGGCAGCAGUAAGGAAUAUUGGUCAAUGGACGGAAGUCUGAACCAGCCAUGCCGCGUGCAGGAAGACGGCCCUACGGGUUGUAAACUGCUUUUGCAGGGGAAUAAACCCCGGUUCGUGAACCGGGUUGAAUGUACCUUGAGAAUAAGGAUCGGCUAACUCCGUGCCAGCAGCCGCGGUAAUACGGAGGAUCCAAGCGUUAUCCGGAUUUAUUGGGUUUAAAGGGUGCGUAGGCGGCUUUUUAAGUCAGGGGUGAAAGACGGUAGCUCAACUAUCGCAGUGCCCUUGAUACUGAAGAGCUUGAAUGUACUUGAGGUAGGCGGAAUGUGACAAGUAGCGGUGAAAUGCAUAGAUAUGUCACAGAACACCAAUUGCGAAGGCAGCUUACUAAAGUAUGAUUGACGCUGAGGCACGAAAGCGUGGGGAUCAAACAGGAUUAGAUACCCUGGUAGUCCACGCCCUAAACGAUGAACACUCGAUGUUGGCGAUAUACGGUCAGCGUCUAAGCGAAAGCGUUAAGUGUUCCACCUGGGGAGUACGCCCGCAAGGGUGAAACUCAAAGGAAUUGACGGGGCCCC